UUAGCUUGGCAGACACGCAUGCAUGCGUUCUGGCUGGUGAACGCCAGACGCGUAUAAUACGGGUGCAGCUGGAAAACUGAUAAGCAUGCCAAGGCGAAGCUACCGGGGCUCCUGCAUGGAAGUUACGCACAUCAGCACAUGAGAGAAAGGAUUAGUUAAGGGUGCCUCGUGUUGUGUUGGGUGACUACCUCUGGCUUGCUUGCAAAGGUAUCGUAGUAUGCACACG
RNAcentral lists this long non-coding RNA (226 nucleotides) under Setaria italica (foxtail millet). RNAcentral describes it as "long non-coding RNA (SITA_LNC005173)". Lineage: Eukaryota; Viridiplantae; Streptophyta; Magnoliopsida; Poales; Poaceae. The record is from RNAcentral.